Molecule: ribosomal RNA, 866 nt
Filed under: Wardomyces inflatus
Lineage: Eukaryota; Fungi; Ascomycota; Sordariomycetes; Microascales; Microascaceae
Description: LSU rRNA
Rfam family: Eukaryotic large subunit ribosomal RNA
Source: RNAcentral
UCUCAGCACGGCGAGUGAAGCGGGAACAGCUCAAAUUUGAAAUCUGGCCCCCUCUGGGGGCCCGAGGUGUAAUUUGAAGAGGAUGCUUUUGGCGAGGCGCCUUCCGAGUGCCCUGGAACGGGACGCCACAGAGGGUGAGAGCCCCGUAUGGUAGGACGCCGAGCCUCUGUAAAGCUCCUUCGACGAGUCGAGUAGUUUGGGAAUGCUGCUCAAAAUGGGAGGUAAACCCCUUCUAAAGCUAAAUAUUGGCCAGAGACCGAUAGCGCACAAGUAGAGUGAUCGAAAGAUGAAAAGCACUUUGAAAAGAGAGUUAAACAGCACGUGAAAUUGUUGAAAGGGAAGCGCUUGCGACCAGACUUGCGCCCGUCGGAUCAACCGUCCCUCGUGGGCGGCGCACUCCGGCGGGCUCAGGCCAGCAUCAGUUUUCCUGGGGGGAGAAAGGCGGUGGGAAUGUAGCUCUUCGGAGUGUUAUAGCCCGCCGCGUAAUACCCCCGGGGGGACUGAGGACCGCGCGAAAGCAAGGAUGCUGGCGUAAUGGUCGUCAGCGACCCGUCUUGAAACACGGACCAAGGAGUCGUCCUAAUAUGCGAGUGUACGGGUGUAAAACCCCUGCGCGUAAUGAAAGUGAACGGAGGUGAGAGCUUCGGCGCAUCAUCGACCGAUCCUGAUGUUCUCGGAUGGAUUUGAGUAAGAGCAUAUUGGGCCGGACCCGAAAGAAGGUGAACUAUGCCUGUAUAGGGUGAAGCCAGAGGAAACUCUGGUGGAGGCUCGCAGCGGGUUCUGACGUGCAAAUCGAAUCGUCAAAUAUGGGGCAUGGGUGGGCGAAAGACUAAUUCGAACCCUUACUAGUAGCUGGCUUGCGCUGA